UGGUUAGCGGCGGACGGGUGAGUAACACGUGGGCAACCUGCCUGUAAGACUGGGAUAACACCGGGAAACCGGUGCUAAUACCGGAUAAUCCUUUUCCUCUCAUGAGGAAAAGCUGAAAGUCGGUUUCGGCUGWCACUUACAGAUGGGCCCGCGGCGCAUUAGCUAGUUGGUGAGGUAACGGCUCACCAAGGCGACGAUGCGUAGCCGACCUGAGAGGGUGAUCGGCCACACUGGGACUGAGACACGGCCCAGACUCCUACGGGAGGCAGCAGUAGGGAAUCUUCCACAAUGGACGAAAGUCUGAUGGAGCAACGCCGCGUGAGCGAUGAAGGCCUUCGGGUCGUAAAGCUCUGUUGUUAGGGAAGAACAAGUACCGGAGUAACUGCCGGUACCUUGA
RNAcentral lists this ribosomal RNA (397 nucleotides) under Bacillus sp. IDA1819. Its description in RNAcentral is "bacterial SSU rRNA". It matches the Rfam family "Bacterial small subunit ribosomal RNA", at positions 89 to 483 of the family's 1533-position model. Lineage: Bacteria; Bacillati; Bacillota; Bacilli; Caryophanales; Bacillaceae. The record is from RNAcentral.